GUACAACUCUGAGCGGUGGAUCACUCGGCUCGUGUGUCGAUGAAGAGUGCAGCCAACUGUGUGAAUUAAUGUGAACUGCCUACUGCUUUGAACAUCGACAUCUUGAACGCAUAUUGCGGCCGCGGGAUGUCCCGUGGCCACGCCUGGCCGAGGGUCGGCU
Molecule: ribosomal RNA, 160 nt
Filed under: Bolbophorus confusus
Lineage: Eukaryota; Metazoa; Platyhelminthes; Trematoda; Strigeidida; Bolbophoridae
Description: 5.8S ribosomal RNA
Rfam family: 5.8S ribosomal RNA
About the family: 5.8S ribosomal RNA (5.8S rRNA) is a component of the large subunit of the eukaryotic ribosome.
Source: RNAcentral